Molecule: ribosomal RNA, 628 nt
Filed under: uncultured archaeon
Lineage: Archaea
Description: bacterial SSU rRNA
Rfam family: Archaeal small subunit ribosomal RNA
Source: RNAcentral
UAAUACUGGAUAGGCAAUAAUUCCCGUAAUGCUUUUUUGUUUAAAGGUUUUUCGCCUAAGGAUGGGUCUGCGGCCGAUUAGGUAGUUGGUUAGGUAAUGGCUUACCAAGCCUUUGAUCGGUACGGUUUGUGAGAGCAAGAGCCCGGAGAUGGAACCUGAGACAAGGUUCCAGGCCCUACGGGGUGCAGCAGGCGCGAAACCUCCGCAAUGUGAGAAAUCGCGACGGGGGGAUCCCAAGUGCCAUUCUUAACGGGAUGGCUUUUCUUUAGUGUAAAAAGCUUUUGGAAUAAGAGCUGGGCAAGACCGGUGCCAGCCGCCGCGGUAACACCGGCAGCUCUAGUGGUAGCAAUUUUUAUUGGGCCUAAAGCGUCCGUAGCCGGUUUAAUAAGUCUCUGGUGAAAUCCUGUAGCUUAACUGUGGGAAUUGCUGGAGAUACUAUUAGACUUGAGACCGGGAGAGGUUAGAGGUACUCCCAGGGUAGAGGUGAAAUUCUGUAAUCCUGGGAGGACCGCCUGUUGCGAAGGCGUCUAACUGGAACGGUUCUGACGGUGAGGGACGAAAGUUAGGGGCGCGAACCGGAUUAGAUACCCGGGUAGUCCUAACUGUAAACGAUGCGGACUUGGUGUUG